CGAAGGACCCGAGCGUUAUCCGGAUUUAUUGGGUUUAAAGGGUGCGUAGGCGGACUUAUAAGUCAGUGGUGAAAUCUCCCAGCUCAACUGGGAAACUGCCAUUGAAACUAUUUGUCUUGAGUACAUUUGAGGCGGGCGGAAUGUGUCAUGUAGGGGUGAAAUUCUUAGAUAUGACACAGAACACCAAUUGCGAAGGCAGCUCGCUAAACUGUAACUGACGCUGAGGCACGAAAGCGUGGGGAUCAAACAGGAUUAGAUACCCUGGUAGUCCACGCCCUAAACGAUGAUUACUCGAAGUGUGCGAUACACAGCACGCCUCUGAGCGAAAGCAUUAAGUAAUCCACCUGGGAAGUACGGCCGCAAGGCUG
This 368-nucleotide ribosomal RNA is filed under the name uncultured organism. RNAcentral's name for it is "bacterial SSU rRNA". It matches the Rfam family "Bacterial small subunit ribosomal RNA", at positions 526 to 896 of the family's 1533-position model. The record is from RNAcentral.